Molecule: unclassified non-coding RNA, 277 nt
Filed under: plant metagenome
Description: partial contains small subunit ribosomal RNA and internal transcribed spacer 1
Rfam family: Eukaryotic small subunit ribosomal RNA (bases 1-46)
Source: RNAcentral
AAGUCGUAACAAGGUCUUCGUAGGUGAACCUGCGGAGGGAUCAUUACACAAUAUGCAAGCGGGCCUGGGAUCCCUGGGAGGGCGUCUAUUCUGCCGUUUCCGCCGCAUCUGCGGUGCUGAAGCGACAGGGCGGGCGUCUUUUCCGGCCAGCCUGACUCCAUAUUCACCCAUGUCUUUUCGCGUACUACUUGUUUCCUUGGUGGGUUCGCCAACCAACAGGACCAUCAACUUUUGCAAUUGCAAUCAGCGUCAGCAAAAUCAAUGUAAUAAAUUACAA